UAUGACCAGAAAUGAGAUUGGUGGUUUGCA
This 30-nucleotide non-coding RNA is filed under the name Rattus norvegicus (Norway rat). Lineage: Eukaryota; Metazoa; Chordata; Mammalia; Rodentia; Muridae. The record is from RNAcentral.